This 1449-nucleotide ribosomal RNA is filed under the name Triticum aestivum (bread wheat). RNAcentral's name for it is "partial small subunit ribosomal RNA". Lineage: Eukaryota; Viridiplantae; Streptophyta; Magnoliopsida; Poales; Poaceae. The record is from RNAcentral.
AUGGAAGGCUACUCGCAGGUGCCAUACGCAUCCCUCUGUGGCCUCGCCGUCGUCGUAGCAGGGUGGCUCGCGCACUGCGUGUACAAGUGGACGAACCCGGCGUGCAGCACCGGGAGGCUCCCUCCGGGAUCCAUGGGCCUCCCUCUGGUCGGCGAGACCUUCCAGUUCUUCAAGCCAAGCCCAUCCCUCGACGUGCCGGUCUUCUACAAGGAAAGGCUGAAAAGGUACGGGCCGGUGUUCAAGACGAGCCUGGUGGGGCAGCCGGUGGUGGUGUCCAUGGACGCGGAGGUGAACCGCUUCAUCUUCCAGCAGGAGGGCAAGCUGUUCCGGAGCUGGUACCCGGACACCACCAACAACAUCUUCGGCAAGGAGAGCAUCGCCUCCUACGACGGCUCCUUCCACAAGUACAUCCGCAGCUUCGCGUCCAGGCUCUUCGGCCUGGAGAGCCUCAGGGACGUGCUCCUCGCCGAGAUGGAUCGCAACGUGACGCAGAGCCUCGCGGCGUGGGCCGCGGAGCCUGCCAUCGAGGUCAAGGACGCCGUGGCCAACAUGGUCUUUGACCUCACGGCCAAGAAGCUGAUUGGGUUCGGUCCCGAGAAGUCGAGGAAACUCAGGAAGAACUUCGAUGCCUUCUUCCAGGGGUUGGUCUCCUUCCCGCUGUAUUUCCCUGGGACAACAUUCUACAGAUGCAUACAGGGAAGGAAAAACGUGCAGAAGGUGCUCAAGGACCUACUGAAAGGAAGGCUCAGCGCACCUGAAAAGCGACACGGUGAUUUCCUUGAUGAGGUGGUCAACGAGCUACAGAGUGGAAGGGGAGUGAUAGACGAGAGAUUCGCUGUAGACUUGAUGGCCGCCCUAUUGUUCGCCAGCUUUGCGACGGUAUCGUCAUCGCUCACGGUCGCUAUGAAGUUCCUCAGCGGCCACCCCAAUGUAGUGGAGUCACUCAAGGAGGAGCAUGAAGCAAUUCUGAAGAAAAGAGAAGAUGGCAGGUCCGGGAUCACAUGGGAAGAGUACAAGUCCAUGACUUUCACUACUCAGGUUUCCAAUGAGAUAGCUCGCGUCAGUAACGUGGCCCCUGGAAUAUUCAGGAAAACACUAACGGACGUGCAAGUGAAAGGAUACACUAUUCCGGCCGGCUGGCUGGUGAUGAUCAGCCCCAUGGCUGUCCAUCUGAACCCAGAAUUGUUCAAAGACCCGUUGACAUUUAACCCAUGGAGGUGGCAGGAUGAGUCGAAGAAGAGCACCCUGCUGAAGAACUUCAUGCCAUUCGGAGGGGGCAUAAGGCUCUGUGUGGGAGCAGAGUUCAGCAGGAUUCAGAUCGCACUCUUCCUUCACACCUUGGUGACAAAGUACAGAUGGAAGGAGAUAAAAGGUGGCGAAGUACAACGCGUAUCGGAGAUCGUGUUUCCGGAGGGCUAUCACAUCCAGAUAAUCCCUAGGGAGGGAUAA